AGGAAACGCUGCCUCCUCUCACUCCAUCAUUUCUUUCACGCAAACACCACACUCACUGUAACUUCCUUGUUCACGAUUCCAUUGUUCAUGUGGAGGCACGACGGAGGGCGACGGACGCGGUCUUUUCUGGUGCGAUCUUUCCCUCACUCCUGAGUCUUCUCUCUCCUUUUUCUGAUACGGUCUUUUCUGGCACGGUCUCUCUACAGUCUUCACUCUCCCUUUCAUGGUAUUGUCCGAGGCGGUUUCACUUCUCUCACCAUUUUUUGACGAGGUCACCACUGUUUCUGCAUAUUUCGGUGAGGGUUAAGGUUCAUCGUGCCUUACUCAUCGCAGAUGUAGGGUUUAUCGCGCCUCACUCAUUGUGGUUUGUUAUCCACUCAUCGGUUUUAAUUCUCAAUCUAUAUCUUGGAAGGGAUACUUAAGGCUGUUAUUAAGCUUCAUCAUCGCCAAUGGUUUGCACAAAAUUACUUGCAGGUGCUCUGGUUCAAGUCUAUACAGAUGGAACUAUUUUAGUUACCCAUGGGGGUGUCGAAAUGGGGCAAGGUUUGCAUACCAAAGUUGCCCAAAUUGCUGCUUCAGCUUUUCAUAUCCCUCUUUGUUCAAUGAAAGAAGUUCUAAUCAAUCUAUUUAAAGUGUUCAUACCCAAUCAAGAUCACACAAGUAGUCCAAUUAAAACUUAUAUGGGAUAGCAAAUGGAUAUUUAUUAUUUACUUAAAUGGCUAGUAUACCUCACAGUCUCACACCUGAUAAAAUGACCUAAAAAAUGAUACUUUCAACUUCAAAAAAGAUAGCUCAGCUUCCUUCAUGUAUAUGCAUAUCUUCUCUCUAUACAAUUUAACAUUUCUCAUCUCAAUGAACAUGCAGAACACGGUUUAGCUUCUA
Glycine soja is the source of this 882-nucleotide RNA transcript. RefSeq lists it as uncharacterized. The record is from RefSeq and is a predicted model, not a curated record. The transcript has 4 exons. Lineage: Eukaryota; Viridiplantae; Streptophyta; Magnoliopsida; Fabales; Fabaceae.